Molecule: ribosomal RNA, 465 nt
Filed under: uncultured bacterium
Lineage: Bacteria
Description: partial 16S ribosomal RNA
Rfam family: Bacterial small subunit ribosomal RNA
Source: RNAcentral
CCUACGGGAGGCAGCAGUAGGGAAUCUUCCGCAAUGGACGAAAGCCUGACGGAGCAACGCCGCGUGAGUGAUGAAGGUCUUCGGAUCGUAAACCUCUGUCAGUAGGGAAGAACGGUGACUGUUCUAAUCAGACGUGAAUUGACGGUAUCUACACAGAAAGCACCGGCUAACUCCGUGCCAGCAGCCGCGGUAAUACGGAGGUGGCGAGCGUUGAUCGGAAUUACUGGGCGUAAAGCGCUCGCAGGCGGUUUCUUAAGUCAAGUGUGAAAGCCCCGGGCUCAACGUGGGAGCUGCAUUUGAAACUGGGAAACUUGAGUGCGUAAGAGGAUAGUGGAAUUCCAGGUGUAGCGGUGAAAUGCGUAGAUAUAUGGAGGAACAUCAGUGGCGAAGGCGACUAUCUGGCACGUAACUGACGCUGAGGAGCGAAAGCGUGGGUAGCAAACAGGAUUAGAUACCCUGGUAGUC